GAGUGAUGAGGAAUUCUGCGCGCCUUGAUGGAAGGGGUCCAUCAGCUACACCUGAAUUUACAGGAAGAAAACAAGCGCAACUGAGCUC
Molecule: small nucleolar RNA, 88 nt
Organism: Manihot esculenta (cassava)
Lineage: Eukaryota; Viridiplantae; Streptophyta; Magnoliopsida; Malpighiales; Euphorbiaceae
Product: small nucleolar RNA snoR114
Exons: 1
Source: RefSeq, a predicted model, not a curated record